GAUGAACGCUGGCGGCGUGCCUAAUACAUGCAAGUCGAGCGAACAGAUGAGGAGCUUGCUCCUCUGACGUUAGCGGCGGGCGGGUGAGUAACACGUGGAUAACCUACCUAUAAGACUGGGAUAACUUCGGGAAACCGGAGCUAAUACCGGAUAAUAUAUUGAACCGCAUGGUUCAAUAGUGAAAGACGGUUUUGCUGUCACUUAUAGAUGGAUCCGCGCCGCAUUAGCUAGUUGGUAAGGUAACGGCUUACCAAGGCAACGAUGCGUAGCCGACCUGAGAGGGUGAUCGGCCACACUGGAACUGAGACACGGUCCAGACUCCUACGGGAGGCAGCAGUAGGGAAUAUUCCGCAAUGGGCGAAAGCCUGACGGAGCAACGCCGCGUGAGUGAUGAAGGUCUUCGGAUCGUAAAACUCUGUUAUUAGGGAAGAACAAAUGUGUAAGUAACUAUGCACGUCUUGACGGUACCUAAUCAGAAAGCCACGGCUAACUACGUG
Molecule: ribosomal RNA, 497 nt
Filed under: uncultured bacterium
Lineage: Bacteria
Description: partial 16S ribosomal RNA
Rfam family: Bacterial small subunit ribosomal RNA
Source: RNAcentral